RNAcentral lists this ribosomal RNA (306 nucleotides) under uncultured bacterium. Its description in RNAcentral is "partial 16S ribosomal RNA". It matches the Rfam family "Bacterial small subunit ribosomal RNA", at positions 507 to 809 of the family's 1533-position model. The record is from RNAcentral.
GACAGCAGCCGCCGCGGUAAUACAGAGGGUGCGAGCGUUAAUCGGAUUUACUGGGCGUAAAGCGUGCGUAGGCGGCUUUUUAAGUCGGAUGUGAAAUCCCUGAGCUUAACUUAGGAAUUGCAUUCGAUACUGGGAAGCUAGAGUAUGGGAGAGGAUGGUAGAAUUCCAGGUGUAGCGGUGAAAUGCGUAGAGAUCUGGAGGAAUACCGAUGGCGAAGGCAGCCAUCUGGCCUAAUACUGACGCUGAGGUACGAAAGCAUGGGGAGCAAACAGGAUUAGAUACCCCUGUAGUCCCUGUCUCUUAUAA